Molecule: transfer RNA, 74 nt
Filed under: Candidatus Kaiserbacteria bacterium RIFCSPHIGHO2_01_FULL_54_36b
Lineage: Bacteria; Candidatus Kaiseribacteriota
Also listed under: 1 other name
Description: tRNA-Lys
Rfam family: tRNA
About the family: Transfer RNA (tRNA) molecules are approximately 80 nucleotides in length. Their secondary structure includes four short double-helical elements and three loops (D, anti-codon, and T loops).
Source: RNAcentral
CCCCUCGUAGCUCAAUGGUAGAGCAUGUGCCUUUUAAGCACGUGACGGAGGUCCGAUUCCUCCCGGGGGGACAA